This 75-nucleotide transfer RNA is filed under the name Mus musculus (house mouse). RNAcentral's name for it is "tRNA-Asn". The record is from RNAcentral. Lineage: Eukaryota; Metazoa; Chordata; Mammalia; Rodentia; Muridae.
GGUUGGACAGAUGGCUCAGUGGUUAAGAGCACUAACUGUUCUUCCAGAGGUCCUGAGUUCAAUUCCCAGCAACCA